CCUACGGGAGGCAGCAGUGAGGAAUCUUGCACAAUGGGCGAAAGCCUGAUGCAGCGACGCCGCGUGAGGGACUAAGGCCUUCGGGUUGUAAACCUCUGUCAGUAGGGAAGCGGUACCUACUGAGGAAGCUUCGGCUAACUACGUGCCAGCAGCCGCGGUAAUACGUAGGAAGCAAGCGUUGCCCGGAAUUACUGGGCGUAAAGAGCUCGUAGGCGGGGGCGUGCGUCCGAGAAGAAAUCUCAAGGCUCAACCUUGGGGCUAUCUCGGAUACGGCGCUUCUUGAGGGUGAGAGAGGAAAGCGGAAUUCCAGGUGUAGCGGUGAAAUGCGUAGAUAUCUGGAGGAACACCAGCGGCGAAGGCGGCUUUCUGGCUCAUCCUGACGCUGAGGAGCGAAAGCGUGGGUAGCGAACGGGAUUAGAUACCCUUGUAGUC
Molecule: ribosomal RNA, 432 nt
Filed under: uncultured bacterium
Lineage: Bacteria
Description: partial 16S ribosomal RNA
Rfam family: Bacterial small subunit ribosomal RNA
Source: RNAcentral